GAUGAACGCUGGCGGCGUGCCUAAUACAUGCCAGUCGAGCGAACGGACGAGAAGCUUGCUUUUCUGAUGUUAGCGGCGGACGGGUGAGUAACACGUGGAUAACCUACCUAUAAGACUGGGAUAACUUCGCGAAACCGGAGCUAAUACCGGAUAAUAUUUUGAACCGCAUGGUUCAAAAGUGAAAGACGGUCUUGCUGUCACUUAUAGAUGGAUCCGCGCUGCAUUAGCUAGUUGGUAAGGUAACGGCUUACCAAGGCAACGAUGCAUAGCCGACCUGAGAGGGUGAUCGGCCACACUGGAACUGAGACACGGUCCAGACUCCUACGGGAGGCAGCAGUAGGGAAUCUUCCGCAAUGGGCGAAAGCCUGACGGAGCAACGCCGCGUGAGUGAUGAAGGUCUUCGGAUCGUAAAACUCUGUUAUUAGGGAAGAACAUAUGUGUAAGUAACUGUGCACAUCUUGACGGUACCUAAUCAGAAAGCCACGGCUAACUACGUG
RNAcentral lists this ribosomal RNA (497 nucleotides) under uncultured bacterium. RNAcentral describes it as "partial 16S ribosomal RNA". It matches the Rfam family "Bacterial small subunit ribosomal RNA", at positions 28 to 507 of the family's 1533-position model. The record is from RNAcentral.